This 512-nucleotide ribosomal RNA is filed under the name Salmonella sp. 3DZ2-4SM. RNAcentral describes it as "partial 23S ribosomal RNA". It matches the Rfam family "Bacterial large subunit ribosomal RNA", at positions 1 to 543 of the family's 2925-position model. The record is from RNAcentral. Lineage: Bacteria; Pseudomonadati; Pseudomonadota; Gammaproteobacteria; Enterobacterales; Enterobacteriaceae.
GGGUUGUGAGGUUAAGCGACUAAGCGUACACGGUGGAUGCCCUGGCAGUCAGAGGCGAUGAAGGACGUGCUAAUCUGCGAUAAGCGCCGGUAAGGUGAUAUGAACCGUUAUAACCGGCGAUUUCCGAAUGGGGAAACCCAGUGUGACUCGUCACACUAUCAUUAACUGAAUCCAUAGGUUAAUGAGGCGAACCGGGGGAACUGAAACAUCUAAGUACCCCGAGGAAAAGAAAUCAACCGAGAUUCCCCCAGUAGCGGCGAGCGAACGGGGAGGAGCCCAGAGCCUGAAUCAGCAUGUGUGUUAGUGGAAGCGUCUGGAAAGGCGCGCGAUACAGGGUGACAGCCCCGUACACAAAAGCGCAUGUGCUGUGAGCUCGAUGAGUAGGGCGGGACACGUGGUAUCCUGUCUGAAUAUGGGGGGACCAUCCUCCAAGGCUAAAUACUCCUGACUGACCGAUAGUGAACCAGUACCGUGAGGGAAAGGCGAAAAGAACCCCGGCGAGGGGAGUGAAA